Long non-coding RNA from Gasterosteus aculeatus aculeatus (three-spined stickleback), 666 nucleotides. Lineage: Eukaryota; Metazoa; Chordata; Actinopteri; Perciformes; Gasterosteidae. The record is from Ensembl.
CCUUUCCUCCCUCCGCUGGAACGGCAGACUCGGUCGGUCCGAGUCUCCGCCGCCCGGAUCACAUCUUCCACCGGGACUCCAAAGUGCUGAAACCAGCGCCGCUCACAUGAUAUGAAGUCUUAAUCCAGAUGUGGACGUAACGUGGAGAUCUUACUGGACAGAUGUUGGAUCGAUUCCCUUGUCCUCUUCGGACGCUUUUGGUGCGCAAACACAAGUAGGUCAGCGGACCUGCAGGAGGACUGAGCGUUUCUUUCUUGGGGGUGUGGAGGAGGGGGAGUGGGGGGCUGGAGGCGACGUUGUUGAAAGUUUUCAAGUGUUCGGUUCCAUCGCGAGCGGAGGAACCGCAGGAAGACCGGAGAAACAGCGAGGGGAGGAUCGGACCUGAGGGCAGCUGCAGGGACUCCCCGCAGACCUCCAUGCCUCCCAGGUUUCUACUUACUGUGACAUCAUCGCAACAUGCCUGAGGGGUCACGGCGAGGACGCCAGAGAUUGCCGAGCAACACAGGUAAAGGGGGCGGAGCUAGGUCGGCUUUAGUGGCCUUCUUCAGCCUCGUUGAAAGGGACGAGGAAAGUUAAAGGGCCGAUUAAAGGAGAGAACACAGUGACUCUCUGAACAGUGAGUGGAGGACAGAACCGACCAAUCAGCAGCUGGUAAAGGACAGAGGU